UAAGGAAUAUUGGUCAAUGGGCGCAAGCCUGAACCAGCCAUGCCGCGUGCAGGAAGACGGCCCUACGGGUUGUAAACUGCUUUUAUUCGGGAAUAAACCCUUCUACGUGUAGGAGGCUGAAUGUAACGAAGGAAUAAGGAUCGGAUAACUCCGUGCCAGCAGCCGCGGUAAUACGGAGGAUCCAAGCGUUAUCCGGAUUUAUUGGGUUUAAAGGGUGCGUAGGCGGCUUAUUAAGUCAGGGGUGAAAGACGGUGGCUCAACCAUCGCAGUGCCUUUGAUACUGAUGAGCUUGAAUACACUUGAGGUAGGCGGAAUGUGACAAGUAGCGGUGAAAUGCAUAGAUAUGUCACAGAACACCAAUUGCGAAGGCAGCUUACUAAAGUGAGAUUGACGCUGAGGCACGAAAGCGUGGGGAGCAAA
Molecule: ribosomal RNA, 420 nt
Filed under: uncultured bacterium
Lineage: Bacteria
Description: bacterial SSU rRNA
Rfam family: Bacterial small subunit ribosomal RNA
Source: RNAcentral